GCCACGACUGGCCACUUUCCUGCCUUCUAAGCAGUCGGUCGAUGGUUCGAAUCCAUCAGGGGGCG
RNAcentral lists this transfer RNA (65 nucleotides) under Synechococcus sp. WH 7803. Its description in RNAcentral is "tRNA-Ser (CGA) (tRNA-Ser-CGA-2-1)". The record is from RNAcentral. Lineage: Bacteria; Bacillati; Cyanobacteriota; Cyanophyceae; Synechococcales; Synechococcaceae. RNAcentral also lists the same sequence under 1 other name.